RNAcentral lists this long non-coding RNA (401 nucleotides) under Physcomitrium patens. Its description in RNAcentral is "long non-coding RNA (PPAT_LNC002215)". Lineage: Eukaryota; Viridiplantae; Streptophyta; Bryopsida; Funariales; Funariaceae. The record is from RNAcentral.
UAAUUUAAUUUUUGGCUCUUCUACUUGCAAUCCAUUUAAAGCACCUUCUAAUAAGAAAGGGAUUUGGAAAAAAAACAAUCAAAAAGAUUUUUUUUUGCUUAAAUAUUACCUCAAGCAAGAUUUUUUUCCAUUCUUAAUUAUUAAAUAAAACUACCUUAGUAUAAAAGUGAUCUUAAGUAAUCCUAGUUGUAAAAAAAAAUUUUGUAUUAAUAUAGCCAAGAGCCAAAGCUUUCAUUUUUUCUUCCCUUUUCACAAUAAGACAGUUAAGAAAUUACCCACUAUAACAAUUAAUAGCAAAGGUUACAUUACAAAAAUAAUUCUUUGCAAAUAAUUCACACCAUGUUAUAGAAGAACUCACAUGGUUGCAUUUCCAGUCAACCUAGCACUUGUUAAAGAUCUCU